Molecule: ribosomal RNA, 1350 nt
Filed under: metagenome
Description: bacterial LSU rRNA
Rfam family: Bacterial large subunit ribosomal RNA
Source: RNAcentral
UGAGUACGAGAUGCUACGGCAUCGAAGCAGUGUAUGUCAUACUUCCAAGAAAAGCUCGCAAUGUCAUAAACAAAUAAUGCCUGUACCAUAACCGACACAGGUGGGUAGGUAGAGUAUACUAAGGGGCGCGAGAUAACUCUCUCUAAGGAACUCGGCAAAAUGACUCCGUAACUUCGGGAGAAGGAGUGCCUUAUUUUUAUAAGGUUGCAAUAACAAGAUCCAAGCAACUGUUUACCAAAAACACAGGUCUCCGCUAAGUCGUAAGACGAUGUAUGGGGGCUGACGCCUGCCCAGUGCCAGAAGGUUAAAGAAGUUGGUUAGCAUUAGCGAAGCUGAUAACUGAAGCCCUGGUGAACGGCGGCCGUAACUAUAACGGUCCUAAGGUAGCGAAAUUCCUUGUCGGGUAAGUUCCGACCCGCACGAAAGGCGUAAUGAUUUGGAUACUGUCUCGGAGAGGGGCUCGGUGAAAUAGACUUGUCUGUGAAGAUGCGGACUACCUGCACCUGGACAGAAAGACCCUAUGAAGCUUUACUGUAACUUGAGAUUGAAAUUGGACUUUAUCUGCGCAGUAUAGGUGGGAGACGUUGAUAAUAUUCUUGCGGGAAUAUUGGAGUCAUCAGUGAGAUACCACUCUUAUAAUGUUAGAUUUCUAACUUUGUAUCAUUAUCUGGUCAAAGAACAGUUUCAGGCGGGCAGUUUGACUGGGGCGGUCGCCUCCCAAACGGUAACGGAGGCGCACAAAGGUUUCCUCUGAACGUGUAGAAAUCGUAUCUAGAGUGUAAAGGCAUAAGGAAGCUUGACUGUGAGACCUACAAGUCGAGCAGGGACGAAAGUCGGUCUUAGUGAUCUGACGGUGCUGAGUGGAAAGGCCGUCACUCAACGGAUAAAAGUUACUCUAAGGAUAACAGGCUGAUCUCCCCCAAGAGUUCACAUCGACGGGGAGGUUUGGCACCUCGAUGUCGGCUCAUCGCAUCCUGGGGCGGUAGUACGUCCCAAGGGUUGGGCUGUUCGCCCAUGAAAGCGGUACGCGAGCUGGGUUCAGAACGUCGUGAGACAGUUCGGUCCAUAUCCGGUGUAGGCGUUAGAAUAUUGAGAGGAGCCUUCUUUAGUACGAGAGGACCGAGAAGGACAUACCUCUGGUGUACCAGUUAUCGUGCCAACGGUAAACGCUGGGUAGCUAUGUAUGGAGAGGAUAACCGCUGAAAGCAUCUAAGUGGGAAGCCCACCUCAAGAUAAGUAUUCCCAUGUCAGAAGCCAGUAAGGUCACGGGAAGAACACCCGUUGAUAGGCUCUACGUGGAAGCGCGGCAACGCGUGAAGCGGAGGAGUACUAAUAGACCGAGGGCUUGAC